AGGGAAAGUGGAAUUUCCAAUGUGUAGCGGUGAAAUGCGUAGAGAUAUGGAGGAACACCAGUGGCGAAGGCGACUUUCUGGUCUGUAACUGACACUGAGGCGCGAAAGCGUGGGGAGCAAACAGGAUUAGAUACCCUGGUAGUCCACGCCGUAAACGAUGAGUGCUAAGUGUUAGAGGGUUUCCGCCCUUUAGUGCUGAAGUUAACGCAUUAAGCACUCCGCCUGGGGAGUACGGCCGCAAGGCUGAAACUCAAAGGAAUUGACGGGGGCCCGCACAAGCGGUGGAGCAUGUGGUUUAAUUUGAAGCAACGCGAAGAACCUUACCAGGUCUUGACAUCCUCUGACAACCCUAGAGAUAGGGCUUCUCCUUCGGGAGCAGAGUGACAGGUGGUGCAUGGUUGUCGUCAGCUCGUGUCGUGAGAUGUUGGGUUAAGUCCCGCAACGAGCGCAACCCUUGAUCUUAGUUGCCAUCAUUUAGUUGGGCACUCUAAGGUGACUGCCGGUGACAAACCGGAGGAAGGUGGGGAUGACGUCAAAUCAUCAUGCCCCUUAUGACCUGGGCUACACACGUGCUACAAUGGACGGUACAAAGAGCUGCAAGACCGCGAGGUGGAGCUAAUCUCAUAAAACCGUUGUCAGUUCGGAUUGUAGGGUGCAAGCUCGCCGACAUGAAGCGGGAAUCGCUAGUGAGCGCGGUUCGAGCCAGGGGGG
RNAcentral lists this ribosomal RNA (711 nucleotides) under Bacillus cereus. Its description in RNAcentral is "bacterial SSU rRNA". It matches the Rfam family "Bacterial small subunit ribosomal RNA", at positions 654 to 1361 of the family's 1533-position model. Lineage: Bacteria; Bacillati; Bacillota; Bacilli; Caryophanales; Bacillaceae. The record is from RNAcentral.